UCCCUGGAGGACUAGUGGUUAGGCCACAGCGCUCUCACCGCUGCGGGCUGGGUUCGAUUCCCGGCCAGCGAA
This 72-nucleotide transfer RNA is filed under the name Pangasius djambal. RNAcentral describes it as "tRNA-Glu". It matches the Rfam family "tRNA". Rfam says of the family: Transfer RNA (tRNA) molecules are approximately 80 nucleotides in length. The record is from RNAcentral. Lineage: Eukaryota; Metazoa; Chordata; Actinopteri; Siluriformes; Pangasiidae.